RNAcentral lists this ribosomal RNA (481 nucleotides) under uncultured Atribacterota bacterium. RNAcentral describes it as "bacterial SSU rRNA". It matches the Rfam family "Bacterial small subunit ribosomal RNA", at positions 912 to 1382 of the family's 1533-position model. Lineage: Bacteria; Pseudomonadati; Atribacterota. The record is from RNAcentral.
GACGGGGGCCCGCACAAGCGGUGGAGCAUGUGGUUUAAUUCGAUGCAACGCGAAGAACCUUACCAGGGUUUGACAUGCUGGUGGUAGAAGCCCGAAAGGGUGACGACCUUCGGUUUUCCGAGGGAGCCAGCACAGGUGCUGCAUGGUUGUCGUCAGCUCGUGUCGUGAGAUGUUGGGUUAAGUCCCGCAACGAGCGCAACCCUUACCCUUAGUUGCGACCAGGUUAUGCUUGAGCACUCUAAGGGGACUGCCGGUGACAAACCGGAGGAAGGUGGGGAUGACGUCAAAUCCGCAUGGCCCUUAUGUCCUGGGCGACACACGUGCUACAAUGGCCAGUACAGAGGGUUGCGAACCCGCGAGGGGGAGCCAAUCCCAAAAAGCUGGCCCCAGUUGGGAUUGCAGGCUGCAACUCGCCUGCAUGAACGCGGAAUCGCUAGUAAUCGCGGAUCAGCAUGUCGCGGUGAAUACGUUCCCGGGCCUU